RNAcentral lists this ribosomal RNA (1227 nucleotides) under Trichananca sp. NLG-2012. RNAcentral's name for it is "partial 16S ribosomal RNA". Lineage: Eukaryota; Metazoa; Arthropoda; Insecta; Coleoptera; Anthicidae. The record is from RNAcentral.
GUCUUUAAAAUUAAAAGAUUUGGCGGUAUUUUAGUCUAUUCAGAGGAACCUGUUUUUUAAUUGAUAAUCCACGAUUAACUAUACUUUAAAUAUUAGUUUGUAUAUCGUCGUAGUUUGAAUAUUUUAAUAUUUAAUAUUUUCAGAUCAAGAUGCAGUUUAUUUUAAAGUUAGAAUGGGUUACAUUGAAAAAGUUAAUUAAAUUGGAUUUGAUAGUAAGCUCUAAGAUAUGUACAUAUCGCCCGUCGCUUUCAUAUAAAAUGAAAUAAGUCGUAACAUAGUAGGCUUAUUGGAAAAUGAGCCUAGAAUGCAAAUUAGAGCUUGAUAAGUAUUUUAUUUACAUUAAAAUGUUAACUGUGAAAUUCAGUUUAAUUUGAAUAGAUUUAAUUAUUUAUAAUUUAUUUUAUUUAUUUUUGAAUAAAAAAUUAGGUAUUUUAUUAUGUUAAGGAAAAAAUUUAAUUAUAGUUUAUAGUACAGUGGUGGAAAUUAUAUUAUUUAAUAAAGAAGAUUUUAUUUAUUGUACCUUGUGUAUCAGGGUUUAUUAAUUUAAUGUUCCCGAAUUUUUAAGAGUUAUUUUUAUUGUAUAAUAAAUAUUUAUAAUAUUUAAAUAGUAAUGAAACGUUAUUCGUUUAAAAAUUUAUCUGGUUUUUUAAGAAAUUAAUUUAAUUUAUUAUAAAAUUAAAAUAUUUAUAGGGGAUAAUCUUUUAAAUAUAUAAUUAUAGUCUAUUAAUUUUAAAUAAGAAAUAGGAUUGGAAUUUUUCGUUUUAAUUAAUGUUAUAAUAUAUGACUUAAGUUUUUUAUUAAAAUUAUGACAUUAAUUUAAAAUGUUAUGUAAUAAUGAUAGAAUUAGUAAAGUUAAUGUAAGGAAUUAGGCAAAGUAUUUUUCACCUGUUUAAUAAAAACAUGUCUUUUAGAUAAUAAUUUAAAGUCUAGCCUGCCCAAUGAUUUAAUGGCUGCAGUAUUUUGACUGUACAAAGGUAGCAUAAUCAUUAGUUUUUUAAUUGAAAGCUUGUAUGAAAGGUUGGAUGAGAAAAUAACUGUCUUUAGAAUUUUAUUUUUAAGUGAAAAAGCUUAAAUGUAAUAGAAAGACGAGAAGACCCUAUAGAGUUUUUUGGUUGGGGUGAUUUUAAAAUUUAAUAAACUUUUAUUAUUUUUGUAUAUUUGAUCUUUGAUUAUAAGAAUUAAUUACCUUAGGGAUAACAGCGUAAUUUUUUUAGAGAGUUCUUAUCG